This 141-nucleotide unclassified non-coding RNA is filed under the name Acinetobacter radioresistens. RNAcentral's name for it is "contains 16S-23S intergenic spacer region". It matches the Rfam family "Bacterial small subunit ribosomal RNA", at positions 61 to 212 of the family's 1533-position model. Lineage: Bacteria; Pseudomonadati; Pseudomonadota; Gammaproteobacteria; Moraxellales; Moraxellaceae. The record is from RNAcentral.
GUCGAGCGGAUGAAGGUAGCUUGCUACCGGAUUCAGCGGCGGACGGGUGAGUAAUGCUUAGGAAUCUGCCUAUUAGUGGGGGACAACGUUCCGAAAGGAGCGCUAAUACCGCAUACGUCCUACGGGAGAAAGCAGGGGACC